Molecule: long non-coding RNA, 5723 nt
Organism: Psammomys obesus (fat sand rat)
Lineage: Eukaryota; Metazoa; Chordata; Mammalia; Rodentia; Muridae
Exons: 3
Source: RefSeq, a predicted model, not a curated record
CCGCCAUGGGAGCUGCGGGGCGCUGGUAGUACGCGUGCGCUGGAGCUUGCUCGUCCUUGCCGCGCCGCCAGAGAAAGCCUGAGGCGACAAGUCGCAGAGGUCGGCUAGGGACCGAAACGCGCAUGUGAUUGGUGGGCGUCCCCAGUCUCCACAUUUCCAGAAGUGGAGUCCAAGUGGUACAUGGAAAGUUCCUAGAGCUUACUGCCAAGCGAGUCACACAGGCCUGCCCAUGGAGAGUUCCCAGAGCCCGGCCAAGUGAUUUCACAGCCAAUGGGAAACGCCUGGAUAGUUGAGCCAGUCUCAAAAAGGGGCUGCACAUGCCUCACCAGUCCCUGUCUUCUGGGAUUGCCACUCUGGUCCCCAGAACAGAGUCCUUUUGCCACACCAGCUCAUCCUCCAAGGCUCCACUAGGACCUUGCCUGAAAAGAGCCAGGACACUGGGGGAGUGGACUGCCUUGUGGAGGAGGCCAGCCCCUACCCACUCCUACCAGAUGUCAGCCUAACCUGACUUCAUGCUCAGCUCCACAACAGGGAACUGCUUCUCAGCUGCCUCUGCCACAGAGAGUCUCUGCACACCCACCCCAGCCCUCUUGAACACCACCAUUAAAAUUAGAUGCCCUCAUCACCACUGAUUUGACCUUGUCAAUACGACCGUGUCUCCUGGUGCCAGUAGAUACUUUCUGUCCCCCAAGCCUUUUUUUUUCUUUUAACAUGUAGGGGUCUGCUCAGGGAGGACGCAGUGCUGUGCCCCUCAUUAUGGUGGCCCCGAAUUCUUCUUGGGUGUGUUGUAAACAGAAGCCAUUCCUCAGGCCCUCACCCACUGGUACCUCCUGUCCCCUUUGCAGUUUAUCUGACAUCAAUGGGCCCCCCCGGGUGUCUUGCCUACCUCAGUAUUCUAUUUCAGAAUGUUGUCUGAGGAUCUUCCUGACUCAUUGAGGGAAAUCCUCUUCCCAAACAUGAUCUGAAUCCAGGACCAACUGGACUCCACGGGAGGACUGGCUUUCUAAAAUUGCAGAGGCCUGGAUCUCACCAAGACAGAAAAGGGUGACCUCUGCCUAGCCCUGCAGGAAGAAUGCUGCUUGCAUCACAGUCAGUAGGGAUGGAGCACCUGAGCUAAAGGAGAGGCAGGAAUGAUGAGCAACUCCAUAGCCAGCUGUCUUCCUGGAACUACCCUGACUCAGAUCUUCCCUAGCUCCUGCCACAAAUAGGAAUAGGUCCUUUUGCUAUAAUAAUUUUGUUCCUGCUCUUUGGGCAAUGCCUUUCUCCAACUGCAUGCAGGCAUUCCACCACAAAGUGAUGGGGGAGGGGAGAGGUGAGUGUUGAUCUUCACAACCAAAGGACUCUGUCAUUCCUUAGCCUUCCCUGCCCUGUACUAUAUCCAGGGUCCACAGGAAAUAGCCAGAGAAAACUGUUCCUAUUCCAUGUGACUAAAAAGGCAUGGAUGACAGAGCUUAAUAUCAGAGACACCAUCUUAGUCUGCUGACUGAGGUGUGUGUCUCAGUUCUUCAGAUAGACAUGCAUCUCUAGGAAACACAAAACCUAUCAUCUUCCAAACAGCUCUGCGCCAGGUUGGAUCAUACUCCCUUGCCCUUACUUGGAAAUGUUUCACCUGUAGCCAACCAGGGCCCGAGCAGCUAACCUGAAGCUUGCCCCUGUUCUACCCCCAUAAUGCUCCCUUCUGUAACUCUCUAGGACUGUAUGCUGCAUCCAGUGGACUUAAUAAAAGCCUGUCAGUGCCUAGUCGGUUACUCUGGGAGUAGUUUUCUUAUAAAGUUGUAUUUUUUUUUUUUAAUCAGUGAUGACUUAGAAGCAGAUUGAGUCCCACAGUUACCUUGCUCAGAAUGGGGUCCACAAUUGUCCAUUUCAUGUAUGUACGUGUGUAUAUAAAGACACACCUUUGGUUUGCCUUAAAACAAACCUCAAGGCAUUAGGUCUAAGUGACCUUUGGCACACCUGCCAACUGAGGUCUGGGCCUAAUACAGAGUGGACAAUGAAAAUACAUGGCCUAGAUGCAAUAUUCUCAGUUUUCAAGUUCUCACAGACUGGGGCAGCUUCAUGGCCAGCGCCAUAAGUGGUCUGGAGGUCCUUGUGUAGGGGUUUGCUUUAGCUCAGGACGUCUUUCCUUCUGCCCCAAAAGCUCUAUGUAUCAAAUCCUUCUCCUUGGCUCCCCUCCUAUCCCCCAAAAUGUCCAGUCCUCUUUCACUCUCUCUGACUUUAACCCCACUAAUGAACGCCCACUUUAUCCAAUCCACUGACUAUCCAGUGCACCCCAGCUCCACCUAUCUCACCCAGUGUACCCCUAAAUCAACUCCCUGACCCAACCGUCUCCCCCUCACCAACUGCCUGAACACUACUCCCCUGACUUCCCUGUCUCAGGCUCCCCCAUGUUCCAUCCUCCCCCUCCCUGCCCCUCCCCUCCUUUUGCUCAGUCUCACAAACACCCUUCCCAAAAUCCCCCAGCCCACACAGUUCCCCUGAGAGGUUAUAGGCCCAAGGGUCCAAUCAAGGCUCACAUCCUGUUCUCCCUUUCAGGCAGGGGCUAAAUCCAAACAACGUGGGCACCCCUUUUCGAAAACUCUGUAAAAUAGAGAAAAGAAGUCCUAUGUCUCACCAGAUUUAUCACUUAGCUGGAGAAAUGCAACAUCCUCACCACGACCCUGACUCCCGAUGAAAAGGCAAAGUACCCGCCAUCAGCUCUAGCCCAUGUUGAUCACCCCCAUGAAUAAAAUUUAGCCACCAGCCCAGCAGCAGCCACAGUGGUCCCUGCUGCCUGGCCUGCCUAUCAACCUGGUGAGCUUGGGAAUACUAAGGCUCAGUCAGGAUAACCUCUUAAUAACCAGACACACAGAUCCUCUGGAGUAAGCAGUUUCAGUCCCCAUCAGUGACCUCUGCUCAAUCUACACCUUCCCUCUCACAACCAAAGAGAGCCUCCAACUUCUGCCCAUCCCAGCCGGGCUAGGCAUCUCUCCUGCCUUGGGAACAGGCAUCUCAGAUGUAUCCACCAAUGGCAACCACUCUCAACAAAUGCCAAUGGCCAAAAAAAAAUCCCCUCGCAAGGGUCCUCUCCAAAACAGACCUCCCUAUACAUGCCAGUGGCAGAAAAGUGGGGGACAUGCCUUCUCCAAGAAGACUACUGCUUCUAUAUCAACCAAUUAGGGAUCCUCUGAGACACUCCCCCAAACCCCCACCCCCAAAAAUUCUGAAACAAGAGGAACCUGGUCGGCUGUAGGAAAGUGGCUACCCUGGCUGGCCCUUCUCUUCCAUACAUUAUUUCAUCUUUACUCACUACAGGACCCGGUCUAACUGACUUUGUUUGUUUUGGUGUUUCCAGACAGGGUUUGUCUGUGCAGCCCUGGGUGUCCUGGGAUUCACUCUGUCAACCAGGCUGGCCUCGAACUCUAAUUGACUACUUUCAGAGAUGACUCCAGGAGCCCAUGACUGCCAUCAGAUGAUUCCCUCACAAUCAAGUCAACACCGUCCACUUGCUACAUAAAGUCAAUUUGACCUUUACCCCUUUAAUCUUUGAGGACAGCCCUUGAGCCCUCCCCCAACCUCCCAAGAAGAAGUAGCUUUAAUUCUUCACCUCUUAAUGGGUUUUCAUUUGCUCACUUACUAAAGUCACUGCACAGCUGGGCCAGGCUGUCUAGACCAUGGGGACUAGAGUAGAAAAAGAAGCUGACAAACGGGGACAUAGGCAAGAAGAAAACACUCUGUGGUCGGAGUAUCGAACUCUUACAUCUGGUAGAUGUUUGUCUCUCAUUACAUGGUCACAGGGGUCUCAAGUGGGAACAUCUGGGCUGAGGCCAUUACAGGAAGAGAGGUACUGGGAUAUCAGAGGAAGAAGUGUGGGCAGAGGAGCAGUGAGUGUAAAACUCUGAGGCUGGACAGGUGUGGUGGCAUGCACCUUAGCUCCAGCACUUGGAAGGCAGAGGCAGGAGAAUCUCUUGAGUUCCAGGGUAGCCAGCGUGGCAUAGUGAUAUGCUGUCUUAAAAAAAUAAAACCAAAAAGGCAGGUAGAUCUCUGUUAGUUCAAGGCUAACCUGGUCUACAAAGUGAGUCCAGGACAGCCAGUGCUACACAGAGAAACCCUCUCUUGAAGAGAGAGGGAGAGUUACAAAGAUGGCUCAGAGGUUAAGAGCACUGGCUGCUUUUCCAGAGGUCCAGGGUUCAAUUUCCAGGACCCACAUGGCAGCUCACAGCCAUCUAUUCCUCAAGUUCCAGGGGAUCCACCGCCUUUACACAGGUGUACAUGCAGGCAAAACACUAAUGCACAUGAAAAAUAAAAAGGAAUCAUCAAAAAAAUGUGAAAGAAUAUAAGCAGUUGUGUUCAAGGAGCAUCAAAGGACAAAGAACAGGGGCAAAAUAUUAGCUCAUCCAUUGACUGUUAGCCAGGCCAUCCACUAUUAGCGUGUCCACUGACUGCCGGUCCCUCCAUUGACCAUCAAGCGCCACAAAAUAUUAGCGUUCCUGAUGUUUGGUGGCUGGAUGCCUCUUAGGAAGGAGGGAACACACUGCUUACUGGCUGGAGGACAAGGAGGGAGGAGGACAAUGUCUCUGGCUGUCUUGCUCGGGUCACCAGGGUUCUUUCAGGUCAUAGGCUUCUUUUCAGGGAGCAGUUAAGUUCUGCUCUGGGGACUUUCAGCUUGUGAUGACAUACACAGGCCACAGGAUAGGCCGGUUUCCUCUGGGCACGUCCUUAGAGAACUGGCUUCUGCAUACAUUAGUGGGUCCUGAGGGCCAGCACUCAGUGACUAGAGGAGUUGUAAUCAGGCCCUAAAGUGAUUUCUCCAGGGCAGUGUUGUGGUUAGAGCAGAGGGAGGAGAGGGAAAGGGUUAGAUUGAAGAUGCAAGAGCUGCACCACCACAGGAUUUUGGGGUCUUAUUCUAAGGCACAGGAAGGUUUUUGUUUUUGUUUUUUUAAGAUUUAUUUAUUAUGUAUAUAAUGUUCUGUCUGCAGGUACACCUACAAGCCAGAAGAGGGCACCAGAUCUCAUUAUAGAUGGUUGUGAGCCACCAUGUGGUUGCUGGGAGUUGAACUCAGGACCUCUGGAAGAGCAGCCAGUGCUCUUAACCUCUGAGCCCUCUCUCCAGCCCCCACAGGAAGGUUUUUAACUAGAGAGUAAUUAAAAUUUAUGUGAGCUGUAUGUGUGCACGUACAUGUGUGUGAAUGUUCAGACUCCAGCACAUAUCUGUGGGUGCCAGGGUAUUGGGUAAUCUUUUUGUAUAUCUUGUAAAGAUUAUCUCUUGUUGUGGCUAUAAACAUGUCUUUGUUUUAAUCUCAGGUGUGGGAUGUGGGACUUAUUCAGAUAGUCCACAGCAGCAAACUAUUUGCCUCAUGCAAGCUCUGAGAGGAGCUCUUUGCCAACUGUAGAUAGUCUAGAUCUGAGGACUCUGGAGAGAGAAGAAAUGUCAGAGCCAAGAGAAUGUUGGGGAGCUCUGAGAAAGAACAAGGCUGUUGCUGCCCACCCUCUGAGGCUUCUGGUUGCUGUUGAUGCAGUGAGACAAGAAAUUGGAGAUCUCCUGAACUGAGGAUUGGAUUGUCUCCAAGGAACUCAAUGACCCUAACUAGCAGGAAGCAGCUAAGAGAACAGUGCCCCCUCUCCCACCAACCCUUUCUUUCUCCUACCUGAUGUUGGGGUAUUGGAAGGAAUUGAGGUGGAGAAGGGAGAAAGAGAUUUUUAAAAUGUAAAUAAGAGUUGUUUUUUUUUAAUAAAGUAUACCAACA